CUCUUGGAGAGGCCCUGCAGCCAAAGCAGAGCCUAACGAAGAUAAUAACACGGAGAAAAAGAAAGAAAAAAAAAUACGAGAAAGAAAGAAAAAGUAGACAGUGCUGAAAUCAGAGGUGACCUCUCCUUUUGCCGACUCCUGCACUUCCCAGCCCCUCACCAAACCAGUGCUGCUCCAGACCCACGGUGCCUGGGGACAGCAGCUGCCUCCCCCCGAGCUCCGGCCUGGCACGUCGGGGCGGCAGCACCCCGUGCCAAAACAGGUUCUGGCUGAUGGCUUCCAGCGUGCUCAUUAACUUGGUGUUCUGGUUGGCUUCCUUAAUUGUGUUUUGUUUUUCUCCAUGCAUGCCAGGCUGGUCCUGCCCUUGUUCUUGGAGCUCCAAACCUGGGGGUCUCCGGCAGAGGUUGGGGAUGGAUGGGGCAUCCUCUGUGCUAUGGGGAUGCUGUGGGUGCUGCAGUGAUGCAACAAUGCCAUGGUGAUGCUGUGGCAAUGCUGUGGUGAAGCUGCAGGUGCUUUGGCAGUGCUGCAGCAAUGCUGUGAGUGUUGGGGUGAUACUGUGGCAACACUGUGGCGAUGCCUUGGCCAGGGGAGCUGAGAACACCAGUUCAUGGCCACUCCUGGUGCCUCACUGAGUGCUGCAGGAUAAUCCAUAUCAGCAAACCGACCCCAAAAACCAGCUCACCUGCCAGCGCCGAGGCCAGCUCCGGGCAAGCCAGAAGCACAAAAAUUGCUGUGAAUCGAUUUUUGGACGUCAAGUUUAGAUGGGUCAUAUUUGGCUAGCUUUUAAUGCCUGGUGUCUGCAGCGUGCCCUUCCAUCAUCCCAUUACACGGAUGACAAGCGGGCCAGCACUACGGAGAAGAAACAAAUUACCUAAUAAAUCAAGCACCUAGGAUAUAAAGCGUGGAGUG
Molecule: long non-coding RNA, 909 nt
Filed under: Phasianus colchicus (ring-necked pheasant)
Lineage: Eukaryota; Metazoa; Chordata; Aves; Galliformes; Phasianidae
Description: lncRNA (ENSPCLG00000005414.1)
Source: RNAcentral